CCAAAGGCUUUUUAUGUGGCAGGCUUUUUAAAGCCACACAGAUUUGCAAAGAAGUGGACU
This is a non-coding RNA of Corvus brachyrhynchos (American crow), 60 nucleotides long. Lineage: Eukaryota; Metazoa; Chordata; Aves; Passeriformes; Corvidae. The record is from Rfam.